GUGGGGAAUAUUGGACAAUGGGCGAAAGCCUGAUCCAGCCAUGCCGCGUGUGUGAAGAAGGUCUUCGGAUUGUAAAGCACUUUAAGUUGGGAGGAAGGGCAGUAAGUUAAUACCUUGCUGUUUUGACGUUACCAACAGAAUAAGCACCGGCUAACUUCGUGCCAGCAGCCGCGGUAAUACGAAGGGUGCAAGCGUUAAUCGGAAUUACUGGGCGUAAAGCGCGCGUAGGUGGUUCAGCAAGUUGAAGGUGAAAUCCCCGGGCUCAACCUGGGAACUGCCUCCAAACCUACUGAGCUAGAGUACGGUAGAGGGUAGUGGAAUUUCCUGUGUAGCGGUGAAAUGCGUAGAUAUAGGAAGGAACACCAGUGGCGAAGGCGACUACCUGGACCGAUACUGACACUGAGGUGCGAAAGCGUGGGGAGCAAACAGGAUUAGAAACCCCAGUAGUCC
This 450-nucleotide ribosomal RNA is filed under the name uncultured bacterium. Its description in RNAcentral is "partial 16S ribosomal RNA". It matches the Rfam family "Bacterial small subunit ribosomal RNA", at positions 354 to 796 of the family's 1533-position model. The record is from RNAcentral.